GUCACCGCGGCCGCCGGGGGCCCUCCUCCCAGCCCCGCGCGGUGGCCCGCCCCCCUCCCUCCCGGGGGGCUGGCGGCUGAGCAGAUCGCGAGGAGGCUGCUGGCGGGGGGAGCUUCCAAGACCCCCGCUGUCCGGCCGCGUGGCCGAAGGGGGCAGCCCCCCGGCAUCUCUGGGGAGCAAGCUGCUGCUGUCCGUUGGCCAGCCAGGUGCCCAUGCAGAGGCUGGGCCGGGCAGGGAGUGGACGCUGCGUGUGUGGCCGCCGAUCCCUGCUCCGAGCCGCGGGGGCUGGACUAGACGGCCUCUGGAGCCCCAUUCAGCUCCCCGGUUCUAAGAAGCGCUGGAGGAGGAGCUGGGAAGGGCGCCCACCCAGACACAGGGAAUAGGGGAAAGGAAGGGGGCACCCCCUGCUGAAGAAGCCCCCCUGGAACCAGCACCAGGUCGUCCUCUGUCCUCUCUGCGGAAGCGUUUCCCUGCAAGCAAGCGGGUUUGAUCUCCGUCCCCGUGCAAUGUACCUCAACCGGUUCCAAACCGGUUCCACGUUUCCAAAGCAGUGACCAAAAAAAGAGCUUUGGAAAGCUAGCGUGUGAACCAGCCGAGAGGUGGCGAGUCCAGCGACCCCGGGGAAGAACCAGAGCUGGGCUGAGCCCACAGACUCGGCACCCUGGCGCCAAGACACAGAUCUCCUCACCAGAGCGCCCCCCCCCCGCCAAGUCCACGGAGGCUCCUCCUGAGCAGGGAAGCCAAGGGGCUGCCGGACGAGGGCUCCUCUGCCAAGCUGACCCGAGGAUCUCCAAGCAAGGGAGCCACGGAUCGUCGGACCGGCUCUGCUCUCCUGCCAGCAAACCACGAAAGGUACGGCUGGGAGUGGGAAGCCAAAGCCAAGCAGCAGAGUUACUUCCCCACAGGCAGUUUCUCAUACUCCCCCCCCCCCACACACACACACUGGGCUGGAGUUAACCCGGAGCUUGCCUAGACAUGAAGAGCCCUGCUCUGAAGAGGAAGCUGUGUGUGCGCUCAGUUUUGGGAUGUGUGGGAGCCAGCGAAGAGGGAAAGCCUGGGA
Molecule: long non-coding RNA, 1060 nt
Organism: Hemicordylus capensis (graceful crag lizard)
Lineage: Eukaryota; Metazoa; Chordata; Lepidosauria; Squamata; Cordylidae
Exons: 3
Source: RefSeq, a predicted model, not a curated record